RNAcentral lists this transfer RNA (58 nucleotides) under Planctomycetes bacterium RIFOXYD2_FULL_41_16. Its description in RNAcentral is "tRNA-Leu". It matches the Rfam family "tRNA", at positions 16 to 71 of the family's 71-position model. From Rfam's summary of the family: Transfer RNA (tRNA) molecules are approximately 80 nucleotides in length. The record is from RNAcentral. Lineage: Bacteria; Pseudomonadati; Planctomycetota.
UGGAUAGAGCGACGGUUUCCUAAACCGUAGGUCAGACGUUCAAGUCGUCUCGGGCGCA